This 63-nucleotide transfer RNA is filed under the name Obama sp. MAP-2014. RNAcentral describes it as "tRNA-Pro". Lineage: Eukaryota; Metazoa; Platyhelminthes; Tricladida; Geoplanidae. The record is from RNAcentral.
CUAAAAAUAGUUUAAGUAAAAUAUAGGCUUUGGGGGCUUAAGAUUAAUUUUAUUAUUUUUUGA